RNAcentral lists this ribosomal RNA (957 nucleotides) under Cortinarius sp. 4 MD-2018. RNAcentral's name for it is "eukaryotic LSU rRNA". It matches the Rfam family "Eukaryotic large subunit ribosomal RNA", at positions 1 to 937 of the family's 3401-position model. Lineage: Eukaryota; Fungi; Basidiomycota; Agaricomycetes; Agaricales; Cortinariaceae. The record is from RNAcentral.
UGUGACCUCAAAUCAGGUAGGACUACCCGCUGAACUUAAGCAUAUCAAUAAGCGGAGGAAAAGAAACUAACAAGGAUUCCCCUAGUAACUGCGAGUGAAGCGGGAAAAGCUCAAAUUUAAAAUCUGGCUGUCUUAUGGCUGUCCGAGUUGUAAUCUAGAGAAGUGUUAUCCGCGCUGGACCGUGUACAAGUCUCCUGGAAUGGAGCAUCAUAGAGGGUGAGAAUCCCGUCUUUGACAUGGACUGCCAGGGCUUUGUGAUGCGCUCUCAAAGAGUCGAGUUGUUUGGGAAUGCAGCUCAAAAUGGGUGGUAAAUUCCAUCUAAAGCUAAAUAUUGGCGAGAGACCGAUAGCGAACAAGUACCGUGAGGGAAAGAUGAAAAGAACUUUGGAAAGAGAGUUAAACAGUACGUGAAAUUGCUGAAAGGGAAACGCUUGAAGUCAGUCGCGUCAUCCAGGGAUCAACCUUGCUUUUGCUUGGUGCACUUCCUGCGUUUGAUGGGUCAGCAUCAAUUUUGACUAUUGGAAAAAGGCUAAGGGAAUGUGGCAUCUUUGGAUGUGUUAUAGCCCUUGGUUGCAUACAAUAGUUGGGAUUGAGGAACUCAGCACGCCGCAAGGCCGGGUUUUCGAACCACGUACGUGCUUAGGAUGCUGGCAAUAUGGCUUUAAUCGACCCGUCUUGAAACACGGACCAAGGAGUCUAACAUGCCUGCGAGUGUUUGGGUGGAAAACCCGAGCGCGUAAUGAAAGUGAAAAGUUGAGAUCCCUGUCGUGGGGAGCAUCGACGCCCGGACCAGACCUUUUGUGACGGUUCCGCGGUAGAGCAUGUAUGUUGGGACCCGAAAGAUGGUGAACUAUGCCUGAAUAGGGUGAAUCCAGAGGAAACUCUGGUGGAGGCUCGUAGCGAUUCUGACGUGCAAAUCGAUCGUCAAAUUUGGGUAUAGGGGCGAAAGACUAAUCG